Molecule: non-coding RNA, 54 nt
Organism: Salmo salar (Atlantic salmon)
Lineage: Eukaryota; Metazoa; Chordata; Actinopteri; Salmoniformes; Salmonidae
Source: Rfam
AAUGCACCAAUUUGUAAGUCGCUCUGGAUAAGAGCGUCUGCUAAAUGACUUAGA